Tympanuchus pallidicinctus (lesser prairie-chicken) is the source of this 338-nucleotide long non-coding RNA. RefSeq lists it as uncharacterized. NCBI's taxonomy places the organism in Eukaryota, Metazoa, Chordata, Aves, Galliformes, Phasianidae. The transcript is spliced from 4 exons. The record is from RefSeq and is a predicted model, not a curated record.
AGGCCGACGUGGCGGCGGCUUCAGAGGACACCAAACGGCUGUACCGGGAGUACCGGGAGCUGAAGCAGCGCUCGGAGCUCACAGAGCAGAGCCCUGCGGCACAGCAGGACUCGGGCUGCUGGGGGUCGCACCUGAACCGGCAGCCGAAGCUCCCCGGGAUGCGGCAGCAACCAGCAGCAGCAGCAGCAUCGGCGCAGCUCUACGGGAUGAGGCUGAAGGCCAACCUGGGCACGGCCAUACAGGAGGAGGCGCCGUCGGCGGUGAAGAGGAGCCUGGACUGCAGGAGGAAAAUCGCGGCUCCACGGCGCCGCGCCGCCUCCCCGAGCACCGAUGGCGAC